UGGGGAAUUUUGGACAAUGGGCGCAAGCCUGAUCCAGCCAUGCCGCGUGCAGGAUGAAGGCCUUCGGGUUGUAAACUGCUUUUGUACGGAACGAAACGGCCUUUUCUAAUAAAGAGGGCUAAUGACGGUACCGUAAGAAGAAGCACCGGCUAACUACGUGCCAGCAGCCGCGGUAAUACGUAGGGUGCAAGCGUUAAUCGGAAUUACUGGGCGUAAAGCGUGCGCAGGCGGUAAUGUAAGACAGUUGUGAAAUCCCCGGGCUCAACCUGGGAACUGCAUCUGUGACUGCAUUGCUGGAGUACGGCAGAGGGGGAUGGAAUUCCGCGUGUAGCAGUGAAAUGCGUAGAUAUGCGGAGGAACACCGAUGGCGAAGGCAAUCCCCUGGGCCUGUACUGACGCUCAUGCACGAAAGCGUGGGGAGCAAACAGGAUUAGAUACCCUGGUAGUCCACGCCCUAAACGAUGUCAACUGGUUGUUGGGAAUUCACUUUCUCAGUAACGAAGCUAACGCGUGAAGUUGACCGCCUGGGGAGUACGGCCGCAAGGUUG
RNAcentral lists this ribosomal RNA (548 nucleotides) under uncultured bacterium. Its description in RNAcentral is "bacterial SSU rRNA". It matches the Rfam family "Bacterial small subunit ribosomal RNA", at positions 355 to 896 of the family's 1533-position model. The record is from RNAcentral.